GAUGAAGAACGCAGCGAAAUGCGAUAAGUAAUGUGAAUUGCAGAAUUCAGUGAAUCAUCGAAUCUUUGAACGCACAUUGCGCCCCUUGGUAUUCCGAGGGGCAUGCCUGUUCGAGCGUCAUUAAAACCCCUCAAGCUCAGCUUGGUGUUGGGGCCUGCUGCACUGGCAGCCCUUAAAAUCAGUGGCGGCGCCAUCUGGCUCUAAGCGUAGUAAUUCUUCUCGCUAUGGAGUCCUGGUGGAUGCUUGCCAUCAACCCCCAAUUUUUCUAUGGUUGACCUCGGAUCAGGUAGGGAUACCCGCUGAACUUAAGCAUAUCAAUAAGCGGAGGA
This 329-nucleotide unclassified non-coding RNA is filed under the name soil metagenome. RNAcentral's name for it is "partial contains 5.8S ribosomal RNA, internal transcribed spacer 2, and large subunit ribosomal RNA". The stretch from base 1 to 120 matches the Rfam family "5.8S ribosomal RNA", at positions 35 to 154 of the family's 154-position model. The record is from RNAcentral.